CCUACGGGUGGCAGCAGUGGGGAAUAUUGCACAAUGGGGGAAACCCUGAUGCAGCGACGCCGCGUGAGUGAAGAAGUAUUUCGGUACGUAAAGCUCUAUCAGCAGGGAAGAACAUGACGGUACCUGUCUAAGAAGCCCCGGCUCACUCCUUGCCAGCAGCCGCGGUAAUACGUAGGGGGCAAGCGUGAUCCGGAUUUACUGGGUGUAAAGGGAGCGUAGACGGCAGCGCAAGUCUGGAGUGAAAUCCCAGGGCUUAACCAUGGAACUGCUUUGGAAACUGUGGAGCUAGAGUGCAGGAGAGGUAGGCGGAAUGCCUAGUGUAGCGGUGAAAUGCGUAGAUAUUAGGAGGAACACCAGUGGCGAAGGCGGCUUACUGGACGGUAACUGACGUUGAGGCGCGAAAGCGUGGGGAGCAAACAGGAUUAGAUACCCUAGUAGUC
RNAcentral lists this ribosomal RNA (440 nucleotides) under uncultured bacterium. RNAcentral describes it as "partial 16S ribosomal RNA". It matches the Rfam family "Bacterial small subunit ribosomal RNA", at positions 338 to 795 of the family's 1533-position model. The record is from RNAcentral.